RNAcentral lists this transfer RNA (68 nucleotides) under Maccullochella ikei (eastern freshwater cod). RNAcentral describes it as "tRNA-Ile". Lineage: Eukaryota; Metazoa; Chordata; Actinopteri; Centrarchiformes; Percichthyidae. The record is from RNAcentral. RNAcentral also lists the same sequence under 2 other names.
GGAGUUGUGCCUGAAAAAGGGUCACUUUGAUAGAGUGAAUCAUAGGGGCUAAAUACCCCUCAACUCCU